RNAcentral lists this ribosomal RNA (443 nucleotides) under uncultured bacterium. Its description in RNAcentral is "partial 16S ribosomal RNA". It matches the Rfam family "Bacterial small subunit ribosomal RNA", at positions 338 to 795 of the family's 1533-position model. The record is from RNAcentral.
CCUACGGGUGGCAGCAGUGGGGAAUAUUGGUCAAUGGGCGGAACCCUGAUCCAGCGACGCCGCGUGAGUGAAGAAGUACUUCGGUAUGUUAAGCUCUAUCAGCAGGGAAGAAAGAAAUGACGGUACCUGACUAAGAAGCCCCGGCUAACUACGUGCCAGCAGCCGCGGGAUUACGUAGGGGGCAAGCGUUAUCCGGAUUUACUGGGUGUAAAGGGAGCGUAGAUGGCGAUGCAAGUCUGAUGUGAAAGGCGGGGGCCCAACCUCCGGACUGCGUUGGAAACUGGAUGGCUGGAGUGCAGGAGAGGUAAGUGGAAUUCGUGGUGUAGCGGUGAAAUGCGUAGAUAUUAGGAGGAACACCAGUGGCGAAGGCGGCUUACUGGACUGUAACUGACGUUGAGGCUCGAAAGCGUGGGGAGCGAACAGGAUUAGAUACCCGGGUAGUC